Molecule: long non-coding RNA, 2878 nt
Organism: Equus caballus (horse)
Lineage: Eukaryota; Metazoa; Chordata; Mammalia; Perissodactyla; Equidae
Source: Ensembl
UAGGGCUACCUUGAGGGAACCAGAAAAACGAGUUGCAGGUGUGUGAGGGCUUUCUGGGCGGACCCAGGGAAAACUUAUGACCACAAGGGGGCAGUAGGACGCACAAGCUUUCUUUGAGCCAGGACUUGAGAGUUUUGGGUGUGGGGAAGUCCUUCGCAGCAGGAGAACUGUCCAGAGACAGGCAAGGGUUCACGGGUGCCACCAUUUGGAAGGGGAGGAAGAUGAGUGCCAGCUGGAGAGAACUAGUGAUACCUGGGCAGCUCCUUUACCAGAGUUAACUGGAGAUGCAAAUCCUCCCACGACCUCAGUGAUUGCAUCACAUGGUGAGAGUGAGGAAGUACCACCCGAACCUAAGGAAGGAGCAGCAGCACCAGCGGCACCAGUAAAAGGCCAUGUUGGUAGGGGAGCUCCUGGCCCCAUGGACAGACAAAGAGAACCUCGGGGUGGCAGGCGGGAGCCCAGGCAUCCUGAGGACAGGCAGCGGCCAUUCUACUGCACCGCUUUCACCCUGUUGCAGGUCCAGGAGCAGGAGAGCAUCUUACAACAAAUUCCCUACUCAGGCAUGUUAGCAUGGUAAGCUUCGUGCUCAGGCGGUUCUCCCUUUCCAAGGGACCCCUGGCUAGACCCAGGCCUCAUUUUCUUUCCCAGAGCCUCUUCCCUCCCUUCCUGAGCCAAAGGACAACUAGGGAUCCCAAGGCCGUGGGGCCCACCUGUCCUCAGGCCCCAGGGUAGAGGCAAUGCCUCCUGGGCACCAAGAAAGGAGCUUGCAAGAUUCAUGCACGUGACUGAGGCCAGCAUGCAGAUUAGCCCUGAACUAACUACUGCCAAUCCUACUCUUUUUGCUGAGGAAGACUGGUCCUGAGCUAACAUCCAUGCCCAUCUUCCUCUACUUUAUAUGUGGGACGCCCACCACAGCAUGGCUUUUGCCAAGCGGUGCCAUGUCUGCACCCAGGAUCCAAGCCGGCGAACCACGGGCCGCUGAGAAGCGGAACGUGCGCACUUAACUGCUGCGCCACCAGGCUGGCCCCUAGAAAUAUAUUCGAUAUGAUAUAAAUAAAUAUGUGCACAUUUGCAUGUGUAUACAUACACAUGCAUAUAUAUAUAUGUAUUAGGGAGGACUUCUGUGUGGAGACUAUACGAUGGAAAUAAUAACACUAUCUAUGUCAUAGAACUGAUGAGGGGAACAAAUGACAUAAUGCACAUAAGUACCCAGCACAACGCCCAGCGACAGAGGAAGCCCUGAGAAAUGUUCAGUACUAUUACUCCAUGAUAUAGCCUAUCACCGCGGUACAACCUGUGGCAUAUGUGACAUAGUGGGAAGAGGCCUGGUUAGGAGUCACACAUUCUGGUUCCUUUAGAGAUACACGCUGAGAUAUUUACAGAUGAAACGAUGCGAGGCCUAGAUUUGCAUCGAAAUAAUCCAGGGGCAGAUGCAGGGGUGUUGGAGCAUUGGUUAGGGCAUUGAUGAAAUGCGACGGCUGUUAAUAACUGUUGAAACUGAGUAAUGAGGACGCGGGACUCAUGCUACGAUUCUCUCUGUAUAUGUUUGACAUUUCUCAUAAUAAAAAAAUCAUGUUUUUAAAUGAUUGGCGUUACAAACUCAAAUGUUGAGAAGGCCAGGCGUGAGAACAGCAAGGAGGGUGGGGACUGGCACGUGUCUUUCCCAAAGGGGACGGCUGGUAUUCAGCUCAGCUCAGCGUUGCUGGGCAAGAAUGUUGGGUCAGGAUGGCCAGAUUUUCCAGCUUUUCAAGACUGGCCCCAAAUCAAAAUGCUGGUAUGAAACCUUCCAUUCUUUAAAUGUUGGCAACUAACUGAGAUGUUUUACCACAAAGCAUGCUGGCCACCUAAAACAGGUCCGCAGAAUACACUCAGCUUGCAGCUGCCCAUUUGUGGCCCUUGCCUGAGAGCUAACUUUCAACAAGUUUCAUUCGCAGAAGCAGAAGAAUGUAAUUAAAAGCACUCUUAAGGCCAAGAAUCCUAGGUUGCCAUUGUUCCACUCUGUCGUUUCUCAUUAUAAGACCUGCUCCCAUACAUGUUUUGGUCUCUCCCCUCCAUCCCUGCCUGUGAGUUUCUCUACCUGGAUGCUUCGCUCGGCUUACCUAGUUCUGAUCUCAAAUUUUUUCCCACUGAUGCCCAAGACAUUAGGAGCGUCUGAGAGAGGAGGCCCCAAGCUAACGAACCAGGACGUGCUUGACCUGCUCCUACUUGCUGGCACAUUUUCUAACGGUUCUUCACGAUAAGCGGGCAUACUGAGUGAAUCUUAAGAAACAUUAUGCCUCAGGGACAAGGUGAUAGGCUGGGAAGGUCAGAGCACCCAGCAGAAGAAAAAAAGGAUUUUAUGAAACAUUCACAUCCAAAAAUAUAUAUGUUGUUUACCAGUAAUUCAAACGUAACUCAGCCUCCUGUAUUUUUAAUGCUAAAUAUCGCAACUGUAAUGUAAACCUAUUGUCGUUUGCAUAGGAAAUAUUUUCAAUACUUUGUACUCUUUUUCCCAUUCCAUGUAUAUUUUUCUUUUCAUUCAGGAGAAAUUAAAAAACAUGUACUUUGAUUUGAGCCAUUCCUAUAUGAUACACACAUGUGUGCAUCCAUGGAAAUGAGCCACUGGGGCAACCGGUUCCCUGCAGCCUUCCGGCUCCUCAGGAGGCUCUUGGAGUCUAAGCUGAUGAACAGGAGACUGUGUCCUUUCUCAGCCCCAUGUUUGCAAUGACGCAAGGGAAGGGCAUGGGCCACAGGACAUAUUUCACCAGGGAGUGACCCAACUGGCAUUUGAAAUACUGGUGGCACAAGCUUUCAGCAUCACAGCAACAUGCCUCCACCACAGUAUGAAAACCGACAGACGGAUGGUGUGGUUCCCUGACCAGGAAACAAACCCUGUCAG